RNAcentral lists this ribosomal RNA (252 nucleotides) under uncultured bacterium. Its description in RNAcentral is "partial 16S ribosomal RNA". It matches the Rfam family "Bacterial small subunit ribosomal RNA", at positions 524 to 776 of the family's 1533-position model. The record is from RNAcentral.
UACGUAGGGGGCAAGCGUUGUCCGGAAUCAUUGGGCGUAAAGGGUUUGUAGGCGGAAAUGCAAGUCAGAUGUAAAAGGCAGUAGCUUAACUACUGUAAGCAUUUGAAACUUGAUAUCUUGAGAAGAGUAGAGGUAAGUGGAAUUUUUAGUGUAGCGGUGAAAUGCGUAGAUAUUAAAAAGAAUACCUGUGGCGAAGGCGACUUACUGGGCUCAUUCUGACGCUAAGGAACGAAAGCGUGGGUAGCAAAUAGG